AUUGAACGCUGGCGGCAGGCCUAACACAUGCAAGUCGAGCGAGCGGCGGACGGGUGAGUAAUGUAUGGGAACUGCACGAUAGAGAGGGAUCACUACAGGAAACGGUAGCUAAUACCGCAUACUAUCGGAUAACCCAUACGGGAUUAGCUAGUAGGUGAGGUAAUGGAUCACCUAGGCGACGAUCCCUAGCUGGGCUGAGAGGAUGAUCAGCCACACUGGGACUGAGACACGGCCCAGACUCCUACGGAGGAAGCAGUGGGGAAUAUUGCACAAUGGGCGCAAGUCGGAUGCAGCCAUGCCGCGUGUAUUAAGAAGGCCCUAGGGUUGUAAAGUCCUUACAUUCGGGAUGCGUUACCCAACGAAGACGCACCGGCUAACUCCGUGCCAGCCGCCGCGGUAAUAC
RNAcentral lists this ribosomal RNA (403 nucleotides) under uncultured bacterium. RNAcentral describes it as "partial 16S ribosomal RNA". It matches the Rfam family "Bacterial small subunit ribosomal RNA", at positions 30 to 526 of the family's 1533-position model. The record is from RNAcentral.